This 416-nucleotide long non-coding RNA is filed under the name Helianthus annuus (common sunflower). RNAcentral's name for it is "hypothetical non coding rna". The record is from RNAcentral. Lineage: Eukaryota; Viridiplantae; Streptophyta; Magnoliopsida; Asterales; Asteraceae.
UCAUCACUCCCAGCUUCAUCCCUACCUCAAUUCAAACUUUAAAACACACACACACUCUUUCUCCCUGUCCGUCAAAGAUCUAGAUCUGGAGUUGGAUUUGGAUUUGAUCUCUCUUCGCGAUACACCAUAAGUCUCUGCUAUGGAGGAGGGCCGACCACCGUUCUGGACACCUUCCCUCAUGCAGACACAUGUAGAGGAGAACGGAGCGACAGAGCCCUAGACGCAGGUUCUUUAUAUCUCUUUGAAGUUUGAUGCUUAAAACAGAGAUAAAGAUUGAAUCAUCUGGUGUGAUGGAUAAAUUACAGAAAGAGAAGGGCUGUAAACCAACAAGAUUCUCAUCGUCCACUCCCUCUGUUCAUACUUCAUCUUAAUAAUAAUGUAUAAACAGGUAAAAAGUAAGUAAAAUAUAGUUUCUG